UAUUAAAAAAAUUAUCCAUUUGUACUGUUAAAAUUGACAUAGUUGACAAAAUAAUCAAAUUGUGACAUUUGGCAUGUCAUAUAUUUCUCAUGCUGACGUACUGAGACUAGUUUUUAAUAAUAGAAAUAGAUAAAAUUUUUAAUA
Non-coding RNA from Gossypium raimondii (Peruvian cotton), 144 nucleotides. Lineage: Eukaryota; Viridiplantae; Streptophyta; Magnoliopsida; Malvales; Malvaceae. The record is from Rfam.